This 213-nucleotide long non-coding RNA is filed under the name Prunus persica (peach). Its description in RNAcentral is "long non-coding RNA (PPER_LNC000849)". The record is from RNAcentral. Lineage: Eukaryota; Viridiplantae; Streptophyta; Magnoliopsida; Rosales; Rosaceae.
AAAAUUGGGUCGGGGUGUCACAAAAUGAAUCUAAAUGAUCAUUAUUUUCAAUAUAAAGUUGACCUAAAUAACCAUAUUACGCUAAAAAUGCUGGAGUAACUGUGAUAGUUUUUUGUUUAUGCUCUACAUGCAGUGUUCUAUAUUCAACCAUGUUAAUACUAGCUAAGUAAAUAGUAUAAUGAGAAUAGUUUUUGGUAAUAAUUUUUAUACCAG